UUGGCUUGUCUCCCCUCUUUCACUUACAUGAACCUGGUAAUGAACGCUGGACAUCUUAAUCGAACGGGUUGCAAAUGCAUCCGAAAAUUAUUCUUUCUUUCAAUGGUAUAAGCGGGACUUGGGAAACUUUGUUCGCCUAAGUAUUGUGAAUUUCCGACCUGAACCUCCUCAUGCUUCAUUCGUAAACGGGGAAAGGGGAAAAGGCUCAAGUUUAUUCGGACCUUUCUGACGCACGCAUCUGACAUGUGAGGAGGCAGCAGGAAACUGUGGUCAAUAUUCUAGGUUUCUGUUAGAGUUUAGAACAUGCUGUAUGUCCCAGAGAACACGUCCUGUUCAGCAUCAUAUGGGACGACCGUGUUAGUUUAAUUCGUGUCUCCCAACGUGCAUCCCAGGAGGUGUGGAUUAGAAAGUUUAAUUCACUCUUUCUCGUCGUACCUCUGUAUAUCAACCCGUUCCUUUCUGUCUUUGUCUUAUUUCUCCCAAAGUAUUAAGAAGCUUUUGUGGUUUGCAUGAUUUAAGGUGUCAUCUUGAUGGUCUUUUCUCUCCACCGACUGGUUCAUGAGACUUUAGAUGAACUUCCAAACGUUAUUCAAGUAGCAUGGGUGCAUGAGUCACAUAAAAAGCAUUUCAAGAUAAUAAAAUUAUUCAUUAGGUGUUACUGGCAUCAGAAUGAUAGAAUAAUGAUUCCUAUGAUGACAACCCAUGAUGCUUUUUCAAGGAGAGAAUUUAAGACUAUAGUUUUAUCGUGUUAUUUUGGAUCCUACUCUGGUUCAAAAAGUAACGUGAUUAUAAACAUCAAAUCUAAUCUAUCAAUGAUUAUUGUGAAAUCUAUCAAAGUGGCUUGAUUUUAAUGUAAAUGUAUCAGUUUUUUUUUAUCGUUCACCUCUUCGUAAGAAGACCACACUCUUUGUUUAUUUAUCUCUGCAAUAAAUAUACAUUUAUAUACCCUUAAACAAGUGGUUCUGUAUGCCUUUUGGUUCAUUCAUUUUCCCUUUGCUCGCCCAAGUUUUAAAAAUCCUGCUACAAUCCAUCGAGCAUACUGUGAUGUCUAAAAGGACAUGCCGAUUCCGUACAUUAAAGGAUUGUCACCGCCCAGCCUUUUCACUGGUGAUUGGCAUUUACAUAGUAUGCAUCCUGUGCUUUUAUUUAAGGAGAUGGGUUUGCCUGGGAGUGUCGAAAUUGAUUUCCCUUAUCGUUUUCAUUUCACCUUUUUGGGUAGAUAUCCUCCAGAGGAAAUAAAUCAUGCAAACAGUCCCCUAAGUACCGUCUAUGCAGUCUCCUGGGCGUUGGAACCAUUAAUGUUCACUGUAUAAGAUUCAACUGAACAACAUUUAUUAAACAGCCAGUUCAGAGAAUGCCCCCAUUUUCCAAAGUAUUCAAGCAAUUGCUUUGAAGGAAGGAUUUUUAAGGCGGAAGGGGAAGUAAUGAUAAUUUAGGAGCAAUUGCAGAUUUCUUCAGUGGAAUUUGAUUGGUACCUAGAUAAUCAUAUUUUUUUUCGUUUUUUCUUGUCAGUACAGUGUACAUAUAAAGUUUAGGAGAAAUUGCAGAUUUCUUCAGUGGAAUUUGAUUGGUACCUAGAUAAUCAUAUUUUUUUUCGUUUUUUCUUGUCAGUACAGUGUACAUAUAAAGUAUAUAACUUCAUUUUUAGAGCAAUUUCAAAUCCAUAAACGGCCUACCCAGCGCUUAUUUAUUUCUAGUGAAAUUUAUGAAAUUUCGAGAAAGUAAUAUGUGCUCAGUAAAGUAGGAUUUAUUAUCUUUUUUUAUUAAUUAUGCGUGAUAGAGAAUGGUAAUUAAUUUUGUCUAUAUUUUAUUCUCUUAACUCUAUACUCACUACUUUGCUUUAAUACAUCUUAUAGUCACAUGACACUUGUUUUAUAAUUUGUAGGAACCGGCACAUUCCAAACAUCCUCAGCUGCAUUAUGAAUCUAAAGUGUAUAACCUUAUUCAGGGAGGAAGUGAGUAUUUCUAACGGUCGGACGUGCUAUUUUUCUAUUAUUGCCUACUUUUCUUCAGUUGUAAUAGAAAGUCCUGAAACGUUUUAUUUGUGCCAUGCUGAUUUAUCUAAUCUUGAAUGAAGCUGGAAUUCCCCACAUGAGAUGGUUUGGUGUGGAGGGCGACUAUAACAUCAUGGUCAUGGAUCUUCUUGGACCAAGCUUAGAGGACUUAUUUACCUACUGUAGUAGAAAGCUCACUUUGAAAACAGUGCUGAUGCUUGCAGAUCAAAUGGUAAAUGAUAAUAAAGCUAACACUAGUUCCAUUAGAUCUCCACAAUUUUUGGCAUCACUGAUAAUCUUUUUUGCUUUGUUUUACAGAUCAACCGAGUUGAAUACAUCCACUCAAGGGGCUUCCUUCAUCGAGAUAUAAAACCAGAUAACUUUCUUAUGGGUUUAGGGCGUAAAGCAAAUCAGGUACAUCUUUCCCUUCUAGGACUUCUUCUUUUGGGGGUUCAGUGGAUUCUGAAUUUAUUUAAUGCCAGGAGAAAGGAUGUAAAGUCCUAUGCUGAUUCCAACUAUUGAAUACCAACUAAAUGUGUGUGCUCAAUAAGAGUGGAUCUACCGCAAUACCUUACUAUUUUCCGUUGUUGUGUGUCAGAGUUUUACUUCAUAGUUUUUCAUGGAGCCUAUUUUCACAUUUACUAAAUAAUUAAGAAUUAAUUUCUCUUAGAGAGUGUGUAUUUUAUGAUUAAAUGAAUGAUUAUUUUCAUUUUAUUUAUAUACAAGAACAGGAUCAUGAUCGUAUAUCAUUCUCAUUUUAAAUGCAGGUUUACAUUAUUGAUUUUGGCCUUGGAAAGAGGUAUAGAGACUUGCAAACACAUAAACAUAUUCCCUACAGGUAAUUCUUUUGUUUUUUUAAAGAAAGAAGGAACCUCAUAUAAAAUUUCUCGUCUAACAUAAUUUCUUGUCUAUGCUUGUUAUUUGAAUGGCCACAUCUCCUGCAUUGUAGUUCAAUUAUUUCAUUGGAGCGUCAUCCUAAUUAAGACCUUGCCUUAUAAUCUCUUUUUGCAGUAUACAUCUCGUUUCCUUCCUUUCCAAAUCCCAAUCAGUUUAUAAUUGGUUGUACUGGUUUAGAAGGGCAGCACAGUCUUACCUCAGCCUUUCUCAUGAUCAUGUUCCUAAAGACGACAGGCUGUUAAGCUUUACUGGGGUAUUGGAUCGGAUUCCCUGUAAAAUGGUUAGAAAUAACAAAGGAAAUCGUCAUUUUUUCUGGGACUGUAAUUCCUGAUUUUUAAGUAUCGUAAUUUUUCACGAUUCUUGGUGGAGCGAACUGCUGAGUUAUCAUCCCAUUUUUAUUUUCUAUGUUUUUAUAUAACGAAAUGGCAUAUGUCAUUAUGCUAUGAAGCACUGUCCUUGAUCUAAAAAAGGGCAAUGUUGAAGCUGUUUGGUAGAGAGGCACAGUGAUUGCCAUAAUGUUCCAGAACAAGAAAGUGAGCUUUUCUGGAAUGGUCCUCACUGUCAUCGUGCAGAAUGUGAGAAGAUUGUGCAGAGGGUUUUAAAAGCUCGUUGUUGAAAUUAUAUUUUUCUUUGCAUUCUGUGAUAUGGGCGAUAGUUCUUUGGACCUAGCGUGUGUUACACUUGCUGUUGGCUGUGGUAUUUUCUCAUCUGACUGAGGUAUCUAUCCCCAGUUAUCACCCCUAUGUAUAUGUGGGUUUGCAAAGUGCGUAUGUGAUGUGACUCGUGUUAAUUCACAGAGUGAAGCUUCUUCUUUUGAUUCCUACCUGUGGUUGCGCAGUCUUUAUGCCGUUGUAAAUCCUUUGCUUAAUUCGACUGGCCAACCUUUUUUGCAGGGAAAAUAAGAGCCUAACAGGAACAGCUCGAUAUGCUAGUAUCAAUACUCACCUCGGCAUUGGUGAGGGGAUCUUGGUUCACGUGUUGAUAACCGAUGAUUUUCCUGUUUUCUCAUUUUAUGCAACAAAUAAGAGCCUAACAAGGGUUUAUCUUGUUGGUGCAGAACAAAGUAGGAGAGAUGAUCUCGAGUCUCUAGGUUAUGUUCUCAUUUAUUUCCUAAGAGGAAGGUUUGAAUCGAUGACAUUCUCUGCUGUGGAGUAUUGAGUGUGCCUAAUCGGUUUCUCCUUUUAUUCUCCUAUCUGAUUACUUUUUCAUCAGUCUUCCCUGGCAGGGCCUCAAAGCUGGCACAAAGAAGCAGAAAUACGAGAAAAUCAGUGAAAAGAAAAUGCUUACUCCAAUAGAGGUGACUUGAGUUGCUUCUCUACUAGUUAAUUCCAUUUCAAUUUUAUAAGGUUUACCAAUGCUGGGGUAACUUUUACAUUUCUAGAUAACUGUUGGUGACUGUUAAAGAUUACUGAUUUUUUCAAAACUAUGAACAGGUUUUGUGCAAAAAUUUUCCACCAGAAUUCAUGUCAUACUUCCAGUAUUGCAGAUCGUUGCAGUUUGAUGGCAAACCCGAUUACUCCUACUUGAAGCGACUUUUCCGCGAUCUCUUUAUCCGAGAAGGUAUGUGUAAGCGAGUUUAGCAGUCACGGUUUAUCCCUCUGUUCGUCACCGAAGCUUUUCAAGUGGGCAACAGUAUCUAUUUUUGAACACUCCCCUGCGUGAUGGUUGAUAUCGCUUAGUUUUUUUUUUUCUCAGGCUAUCAGUUUGAUUAUGUAUUUGACUGGACUAUAUUGAAGUACCCGGGACAUCUAAGCACUGGGGUACAUUUUUUUCUCAGGCUAUCUAUCGUUUGUUUUCUUGACCGUGGUAUUUUUCAAAAUUUGGCAUGUCGAAAAUGCAUGUUCACAUGGAUCAAUUGCCCAUCUUUCAGUCGCAGACUGGAGAAACAGGUGCAGGCAUUGGAUCAUCUGCUAGUAGACCAGAACGGACAUCAGGUUUGAUUUAGGAAACGUUGAUUUUACAGAUCGUUCAGAAAAUCUCAUCCGUUUGUUUUUAUGAUUCACUAUUGUGGUAUAGAAGCCCUCCUCUCAAUGCUCAUGCUAUCCAUUCUCUGGGGCAAAAGAUUCGUAAUAGAUUCUCUGGUGCAGUCGAGGCGCCUGCUAGAAGGAAUGGCUCAGGUUCUGGUCGCCUUGCUGAUCACUUCAAGCUCAAACUAUCGGAGGAAGUGCCUACGUCAUCCAAAGAACCUGUCAGUCCUCAACUCCCUAACCUUUCCAGUUAAUUUCCUUGCUCGCAUGAUUUUUCAUGUCACACAAAAUCGAAUCCUAAGAAACAAGUCCAUGCGGCCCAUAGAAGAAAAGAAAAUCUGGAGAGUUGGAUUGGCUGGUUCUAGGGCUCUUUGAUUAUUAAUUCGUAUCAUAAUGUUGAUGAGGUUUCUGGUAACGUUUUUGAGUUCUACGCAUCGCUCUUAAUCUGUGCGCGCACAGGCGCGCAUGCUUCGCGGAUGAUUUGCCGGCUAGUUUUGGAUCGUUGACCGCAACGCGUUGCUCUCGUGCGAUGCGGGACGACUCGAUGAUUGCUCUCCAAUUGUGUGUUCUUGGACGCCAGUGGGGCUCGCUCGUGGAUUAUUCCGGUCAGCGGACUUAGAUCGCCGGACACCGACGUCUUUCUUCUGCCCGCUGUUUUUCAGAUGGCAGAUUCCGAGAAUCCCGGGGGCUCCUCGUCGCGGAACGGCAGCAGCUCGAAGAGGGCCGUGGUCUCGAGCAGCAGGACCCCGAGCUUCUCCUGCGAGCCCAUCGACCAGCAGCUGGCCCGCGCCAGCCGUGUGAUUUCGGACAUCAGCGCCCGCCCAGCCGCCGCCGCCGCCGCCGCCGCCCCGAGGAUUCCUCCCUCCGCCCUCGAAUCCGCUCCCAAGGUCCUCCCUCGCCACACCGUCGGGAGGAGCUCCCGCGACGACGCUCUCAAGGCGUUGGAGUUCCUCUCCAUAGCGGCCGAGAAGAGGAAGUGACGGCCAUGCGUGCCUCUCUCCCUCGCUUGCCACCAGUACUGAGCUGAGGAGGAAGGCUUCUCGCGCCGCCCCGCCCCGAUGUCGAAGGCGGCGAACGAGUGCCCCAACUCCCUCCGGGCUUGUUGUUUGACGUUUACACCACUUGUGUGUUGGACCCCGACCGGGCUCUUCUUCUUCUUCUUCACUGAGGUUCCUCCUGUAUAAACGAAGAAGAAAAAAAAAAAACUCUCGUGGAGCUUUUUCGUCCCCAUCAUUGUCUUUGAUCACAGCAUCUCACCCACCCUCAAUUUUCUAACCCUCUCUCUCUCUAUCUUAUCUCUCCACCGCGAGCUCCAGUGUCUUCGAGCGGUACAAUAUGGUGGUAGGAAUCUGUCUAUUCUCUCUCUCUCUCUCUAAGAAAUAUCUAUAUAUAGCUCUGAGUUUUGGGGCAGCCGUUCUGAGUUCUGGGGACUAUGGAUUGGAGGAGCUAAAGAGUUAUUACGGGUGGGGUGGUCGGUUUGUUUGCUGCUGAUCGUUGGAAGCCUUCAGUUAUUCGGAGGAUUUGGGCGUCGGAGUCGACUGAGGUGAAAAGUCGCCGUGUUUUCGUCGAUUUUUAGGUGUUCAUGGUAUUCUGUUCCUAGGCUGCUUGAAUUCUUGGUUGUUGAAAGAUAAUUACGUCGCCCUUGCCGCAUAUUCGGGCAACUUCCAGCCAUGGAACGCGUCAUUGCUGGGAAAUUUAAGCUUAGGAGAAAGAUCGGCGCUGGAUCUUUUGGCGAGAUUUACCUCGGUAUUUUGGUAUAGAGGCCUUCCUGUUCCGCCUCUUUUGGGUGAUCAUUCGCUAUCCGCGAUUCUCGCGAGGUUCCUAAUUUUGCUCUUCGUUUGUUUGCCUUUUUCAAGGUGUUAACCUACAAAGUGGAGAAGAGGUCGCCGUCAAGUUGGUAUGUCUUGUUGGCUUGUCUCCCCUCUUUCACUUACAUGAACCUGGUGAAGAAAUGAACGCUGGGCAUCUUAAUCGAACGGGUUGCAAAUGCAUCCGAAGAUUAUUCUUUCUUUCAAUGAUAGAAGCGGCGCCCUCCUUUGGUCCAUUCAUUUUCCCUUUGCUCGCCCAAGUUUUAAACAUCCUGCUACAAUCCAUCGAGCAUACUGUGAUGUCUAAAAGGACAUGCCGGAUUCCGUGCAUUAAAGGAUUGUCACCGCCCAGCCUUUUCACUGGUGAUUGGCAUUUACAUAGUAUGCAUCCUGUGCUUGUAUUUAAGGAGAUGGGUUUGCCUGGGAGUGUCGAAACUGAUUGCCCUUAUCGUUUUCAUUUCACCUUUUUGGGUAGAUAUCCUCCAGAGGAAAUAAAUCGUGCAAACAGGCCCCUAAGUUGUGUCUAUGCAGUCUCCUGGGCGUUGGAACCAUUGAUGUUCGCUAUAUAAGAUUCAUCUGAACAACAUUUAU
Molecule: long non-coding RNA, 7257 nt
Filed under: Spirodela polyrhiza (greater duckweed)
Lineage: Eukaryota; Viridiplantae; Streptophyta; Magnoliopsida; Alismatales; Araceae
Description: long non-coding RNA (SPOL_LNC001064)
Source: RNAcentral